UCAUAGCGACUAUCGUGGCAUAUCAAUAAGCGGAGGAAAAGAAACUAACAAGGAUUCCCCUAGUAACGGCGAGUGAAGCGGGAAGAGCUCAAAUUUGAAAUCUUAAAGGGUUUCCCUUUACGAAUUGUAGUUUAAAGAAGUGUUUUCUGUUGGAGUUUUGGUAAAAGUUCUUUGGAAUAGGACAUCAUAGAGGGUGAGAAUCCCGUAUUUGACCGAUUAUUUUCAGCUGUGUGAUACACUUUCAAAGAGUCGGAUUGUUUGGGAAUGCAGUCCAAAAUGGGUGGUAAAUUUCAUCUAAAGCUAAAUAUUGGCGAGAGACCGAUAGCGAACAAGUACCGUGAGGGAAAGAUGAAAAGAACUUUGAAAAGGAGAGUUAAACAGUACGUGAAAUUGUCAAAAGGGAAGCGUUUGACACCAGUGUUGUUUUCUCGAAAAUCAAUUAAAAAAGAGCCGGAUUUUGUGUUGUAAUUGACCUUUAUAAGCUUUACUGCACUCUUUUCUUGUCUUUUUUAAUGCACUUUUCGUUUAACAAGUCAACAUCAAUUUCUUUUGUUGUAAAAGGGUCAUUGGAAGGUGGCUUUCUUUUCGGAGAAAGUGUUUAUAGCCUUUGAUCUCUGCAACCGGAGAGACUGAGGUCUGCAGCGUAGACUCUUCGGGGUUAGAUACAUUUGUGCUAAGCUAUAGCUUUUAUAGACAACUUGUUGACUAUGAUUAGUCAUUGUAGGCUUACUCGCUUAUGCUAUUUUACCUACGCUUAGGAUGUUGAUAGUCACAGCGUGUAC
RNAcentral lists this ribosomal RNA (782 nucleotides) under uncultured Neocallimastigales. RNAcentral describes it as "partial large subunit ribosomal RNA". It matches the Rfam family "Eukaryotic large subunit ribosomal RNA", at positions 22 to 629 of the family's 3401-position model. Lineage: Eukaryota; Fungi; Neocallimastigomycota; Neocallimastigomycetes; Neocallimastigales. The record is from RNAcentral.